UCUCUCUCUCUCUCUCUCUCUCUCUCUCUCUCGCUUGCUCGCUCGUGUGCCCUUGCUUUAUACUCAAAUGCUGGCCAAAGAAUUCUUAGACUAUUGAUUGAAAGCAUCGAGUCCUCUCUCUCUGUCUGUAUCUCUCUUGUGCUCUUCGUACUGAAAUGCUGGCCAAAAAAUUCUGAGUAGUCUGUUGAUUGAAAGCAUUGAGUCCUUCCACAAAAUCUUCUCAACUUUCUGCUUUAUAUCUAACUCAAUUUCAUGGAAGAAAGGCUCAAAUGAUGAUGAACUUUGAAACCACUCCAUAUGACAGUCAGGUACAUCAUCUGGUCUUGUCUAAGGAUAUGGCUGCCAAGAUUGGAAAAAGUUAUGUGCACAAUUUUUCUUUUGUUUAGUCUUUAUUUUUCCUUUGGCCUUUCUUAGAGAAUGGUUUUUUUUUUCUGUGUUUCUUUUCCUUACAGCAGGCAGAAGGAAAAUGACAAACAUAAACUAGGAGGUAUGAAUUUUUCCAUAUUUGAUUAUUCUUGUAUUCUACUAUAUGUUUGUGAUACAUAUGACAGCAACAGUGAUUAUGCAUGCGCACAGAAUCGAAUUAUUGUUGUUUUAGUCCUUCUCAUGUGUUGAUGUACUAACGCAUACCCUAAGCCACGGAUAUCAUUUGCCACCUUACACAAAAGAAACCAAACCUUGAUUGUCUUGAGCAGAAUGGUUAUCCUAAAUGCACUUGGGAAAAUGUCUAGAAAGUUCUGAUAUCUAUAUGUUUUGAGUCUCAGAAAUCACUUUUCAUAUCUUUAUGUUUAAAAAUAGGGUCCUAUGUAAAAUUAGGUGCUUCCAUUGUAAAACUUUACUGGAAACUAGCAUUAUCAUUGUGCAUGUUAUUGAAAGAGAAUGGUCAAGUCCAUUUAGUAGGAAUUUUCUUGCAAAUAUAAACCAACUCAAAGUUACCUUUGCAGCUGUUCCGUUGCGAGUGAAGGAAAGAUGAGAAGAGGGUUACGAAAGGUUCACUUCAUCCGCUCAAGCUUGGGUUGCAAACAGA
This 1027-nucleotide long non-coding RNA is filed under the name Phoenix dactylifera (date palm). RNAcentral describes it as "long non-coding RNA (PDAC_LNC000586)". Lineage: Eukaryota; Viridiplantae; Streptophyta; Magnoliopsida; Arecales; Arecaceae. The record is from RNAcentral.